AUUGAACGCUGGCGGCAGGCCUAACACAUGCAAGUCGGACGGUAGCACAGAGGAGCUUGCUCCUCGGGUGACGAGUGGCGGACGGGUGAGUAAUGUCUGGGGAUCUGCCCGAUAGAGGGGGAUAACCACUGGAAACGGUGGCUAAUACCGCAUAACGUCGCAAGACCAAAGAGGGGGACCUUCGGGCCUCUCACUAUCGGAUGAACCCAGAUGGGAUUAGCUAGUAGGCGGGGUAACGGCCCACCUAGGCGACGAUCCCUAGCUGGUCUGAGAGGAUGACCAGCCAAACUGGAACGGAGACACGGUCCAGACUCCUACGGGAGGCAGCAGUGGGGAAUAUUGCACAAUGGGCGCAAGCCUGAUGCAGCCAUGCCGCGUGUAUGAAGAAGGCCUUCGGGUUGUAAAGUACUUUCAGCGGGGAGGAAGGCGAUGUGGUUAAUAACCGCGUCGAUUGACGUUACCCGCAGAAGAAGCACCGGCUAACUCCGUGCCAGCAGCCGCCGUAA
RNAcentral lists this ribosomal RNA (506 nucleotides) under uncultured bacterium. RNAcentral's name for it is "partial 16S ribosomal RNA". It matches the Rfam family "Bacterial small subunit ribosomal RNA", at positions 29 to 523 of the family's 1533-position model. The record is from RNAcentral.